AGAGUUUGAUCCUGGCUCAGAUUGAACGCUGGCGGCAUGCUUUACACAUGCAAGUCGAACGGCAGCACGGGUGCUUGCACCUGGUGGCGAGUGGCGAACGGGUGAGUAAUGCACCGGAACGUACCCAGUAAUGUGGGAUAACACAUCGAAAGAUGUGCUAAUACCGCAUACGCCCUGAGGGGGAAAGCGGGGGAUCGUAAGACCUCGCGUUAUUGGAGCGGCCGAUGCCGGAUUAGCUAGUUGGUGAGGUAAGAGCUCACCAAGGCGACGAUCCGUAGCUGGUCUGAGAGGACGACCAGCCACACUGGGACUGAGACACGGCCCAGACUCCUACGGGAGGCAGCAGUGGGGAAUUUUGGACAAUGGGCGCAAGCCUGAUCCAGCCAUGCCGCGUGAGUGAAGAAGGCCUUCGGG
Molecule: ribosomal RNA, 414 nt
Filed under: uncultured bacterium
Lineage: Bacteria
Description: bacterial SSU rRNA
Rfam family: Bacterial small subunit ribosomal RNA
Source: RNAcentral